Molecule: ribosomal RNA, 200 nt
Filed under: uncultured eukaryote
Lineage: Eukaryota
Description: partial 18S ribosomal RNA
Rfam family: Eukaryotic small subunit ribosomal RNA
Source: RNAcentral
GCUCCAAUAGCGUAUAUUUAAGUUGUUGCAGUUAAAAAGCUCGUAGUUGGACUUUGGGACGGGUCGGUCGGUCCGCCUCGCGGUGUGCACCGGUCGUCCAUCCUUCUGUCGGCGAUGCGUGCCUGGCCUUAACUGGCCGGGUCGUGCCUCCGGCGCUGUUACUUUGAAGAAAUUAGAGUGCUCAAAGCAAGCCACGCUCU